UGACCUACUUAGAUAACCAAUACAUAUAGAGCUUUCGAAUGAUCCACGCUCUGGCGAUGGAAGAGAACAUCAGUUUUUCAAAAGAGCCAUCUAAGUGAUACAUAUGUGUGGAGGACAUCCUAAAUAAUAUCUUAAAUGCUUUAUUUACAAUGGUUAUGAUGUAUAACAAUUAAAAGGUUCAAAUAUAUUAAAACAUGCUGAUGAUUGCUUGAAAAUGAAAGGCAUCUUCUUGUGAUUGAUUAAUGGUAUAGAUACUUCUUCAUA
Molecule: long non-coding RNA, 264 nt
Organism: Saccostrea cuccullata (small rock oyster)
Lineage: Eukaryota; Metazoa; Mollusca; Bivalvia; Ostreida; Ostreidae
Exons: 2
Source: RefSeq, a predicted model, not a curated record